GCAAAAAAUAAUGUAAAACGCAUCGAUGUAAUUGAUGCGAUGUAUCAAAAAACCUAUGUAACCACGAUUUUCAGAUGUAAUAUCACACCAUUUUGAUGCUUUAGUACAUCUACCUUGAAAUUACACAAACAAGAAACCAAAAUUUAUUAUUAAGUCUAAUCUGUGUAAUAUUGACAUCGAAAAAAUGUGAAUAUUACACAGAAACAGCUGCAACCAAGUGGUUAUGUCGAAGUUGUGUACAAUUACACAAAUGCAACGCCAUAUCGCAUUCUUUUGCGAUGCAAAACUAAAUCGCGCAGCACUGCUUUGUCUUUGCGGGUGCUGGCCUGGCCUGGCCGACCGAGCAAGCUGCCAUAUUUGUUUCGGUGCGUUCAAAAACAAGGCGGAAAAUUGAAGAUUUUUUGUUUUAUUUGUUUUAUGCAGGUAAUUUGAGCAAUUUAUUGUUUUUUUAUUAAAUUGUUUAAUAUUUUCAGCUACAUUUUACAUGUUUCAGCUAAAAUUUCAGUCAACGGAAGCCAUCAAGGGAGCUAUCAACCACAGUACAGAUGGGAAUCGAUUGCAUUUUGCAUAGCUCGAUGUCCAGGAAGAAACGCCACCGAAAAAGGCUCGCAGGUCCGCAGUUGCGUCGGAUGUCGUCCUGUUGAGGUGGCCGGCCGCCGAAUUCACAUUAGCGAUCAUCGAUGCCACAAUGAAUUUGCUGCCAACGAUCGUGCAUCAUUCUUACCUCAACCCGAUGCAUCCAGAAAUGCAUGGAUAUGAUGACACCCUCGCAGCAACCUGAUGGGCGAUGUAGUAGUCCCUCCGAUACUCUUUUAUUUACUUCCACCUGGUUCCGGGUCGAAUAUGGAGCACAAUAUACGCUUCUACAGGCUCUCGGUCCCUCGUGGAACUGCUCAGCAGAACUUGCAUCGAUAGAAUA
This is a long non-coding RNA of Aedes albopictus (Asian tiger mosquito), 919 nucleotides long. RefSeq lists it as uncharacterized. Lineage: Eukaryota; Metazoa; Arthropoda; Insecta; Diptera; Culicidae. The record is from RefSeq and is a predicted model, not a curated record. The transcript has 2 exons.